UUGCUUGACCAUGGUUUUGAGACAUACCUGCACAGCUUUGUGUGUUUGCAAUUUUUACUUCUGCCAAGGAGGUUAUGUUUUUAGUAACUUUUGCUUGCCUGUUAUUUUUUUGUAAACAUCAUAGCUGAAAAAAAUUGAAUUAACCCUGAUCAAACUUUGUAGGGGUGUAGAGUGGGGUUAUGUAAAUUUAGCUUACAUCUUCUUCAAGGUUAACUUUAUUAUUGGUCAAAAAUGAACAAAAACCUUUAUAAUUUAGAAGCUAUGAUUCUUAAAAGUGUGGAGUCUGUGGUCAAUAUAUAAAGGUACUGUGUAAAGAUUUAAAAUAUCCCAUUACAUCUGACCUCUGACCUCUCCUUCAAGGUCAAAUGAAGUCAAACUUGUGUCAUUCAGUCUGACAUAAAUGUACCUAAAAUGCUUUUCUCUCAUCAUCUGCUGAAACUAACAGAUGUAGCUCUGUUCCUUUAGCACUUGGUGUUUAUUACAUUCCUAAUGUUAUUUUAAACUUGUUUCCUCACAUGUCGUCUUGACUACGUGGUUGAACAUCCUGCAGAAGAAGGCCUUCCUGAAGUCAUCAGGAUCCUGGAUGACAGUCUCCCGAGCACCAUCUCUUCUGAUGAAGAACAAGACACUGAUACCCAGAGUGUCAGUUAUGGCGAGUAUAUCCUUCUCUCAUCCUCCCCCUCUUCUCACGAAGCUUCUCCUUCAACCUCAGUUCUCACCUCCUCAGCAAAGAGAAGCAGAGAAGACAUCUGCACUGAAGAGGUGCAAGGUAAGUGAUGACACGUUCUGUAACCCUUCUACAUCAUCAGGUUCUUUUGGUGUCAGACGCUUCUGGGAAAGGCCUUUUAACCUUUCACUUGAUGACAGUGACUCUGAAUAAGUAAUGUUAGAACCUGUUUUUAAACGUUAAACGUUUAAGUUGGCCUUUGCGUCUUGCAGUGUUUAUAAGACACUUUCUUGCUUUGAGGACAGCUUCUUGUAAAUAUCCUUUACUUUUUAAAUAACUUUGUAAUGUUUAAGUUAAGCCUUUGUGUCUUGUGAUGUUUGUAACACAGCUAACUAAGAAUAUCUGACUUUUAAAGAAUAUUAACUAACACAUGUGAAAUGUAUUGUUUUUUUCUUAAUAUGUGACAUUGCCUGUGCGACUGUAAGGUAGUGUUUUAGGUGUUGUUACUUCUAUUUUUGUUAAUAUCACAGGUAACUGUUUAAAUGACUUACAUAUUUUUUCUCAAGCGCUAGCUCACCAUGCAGGACAAAGGUAAGUCCGUACUUAAUGUCAACACAAAUGAGUAGAAAAGGUUCAAAAAUGAUGUCGUGAACUGACUGUAGUCUCUUGUUUAUACAUAAGGUAUAGCCUGUGGCUAAGGGAUCAGAGGUGCUUUACACUUGUCCUCUCCCAGCAUUCUAGACGGCGCUAACACAGAGAGAUGCUCCACCCAGAAGACAGCCUUACCCCAACCCGAUGAGAAGGAUGGAUGACCAAAUGACAAACUGGAGAGUGGUGCUGUGUUCCAGCUAUGGCAGCUGAGAGUGGACAGAGCUGCACAGAGGACCAAAGAUCCACUCUCAGCACUUCAUACCUGACUGGCCACAGCACCACCCCUCUUCACCCAGGGUGAGGAGGGUCCUGACCCCGCCUGCA
This is a long non-coding RNA of Haplochromis burtoni (Burton's mouthbrooder), 1642 nucleotides long. RefSeq lists it as uncharacterized. The transcript is spliced from 3 exons. Lineage: Eukaryota; Metazoa; Chordata; Actinopteri; Cichliformes; Cichlidae. The record is from RefSeq and is a predicted model, not a curated record.